This is a long non-coding RNA of Drosophila rhopaloa, 2007 nucleotides long. RefSeq lists it as uncharacterized. NCBI's taxonomy places the organism in Eukaryota, Metazoa, Arthropoda, Insecta, Diptera, Drosophilidae. The transcript has 2 exons. The record is from RefSeq and is a predicted model, not a curated record.
AGUGCGCGCGCGCAGUGUUGCUUUGGAAUUAAUUUUCUGUCGCCUCUGCUAAAACAGGGUGGCAACUCAGCGGCGCAACAACCAAGUACCUCGGUCGCGCGCAUUGAAAACAAUGCGAUUGCUACUAUAAAAAAUGGUGCAUAAGUCACCUAUUAGUGCACAAUAACUGACAGCAGUUACUUGUACUCGCCAUUGCUUACCGCAUGCAAAUCACAUCAAAAUGGCGUUCAGAAUUUGGAUAAGAAACGAACGACGGAAAGCUUACGUAAGUGCAAAAAGCAAUAACAACGUUGGAAGGAGAGAGGAAACAAGUCUGUAAGAAAACAGGGUGUCUUUUACUUAUAACCAUGUGGCCUGUGAUCAAAUCACAUUUUAUGAACGGGACACCCUGUUUCCGCCAAAGAGAGCGGCAGAGAAUAAACACAACGAGUAUUCAAAAAGCAACAGCACUUUGGAGAGAUAGGGUGUUUUUUUUUUAUACAGCCAUGUGGCUAACAAGCAUUCACACUAACGAGCGAAACACCCUGUUUCCGUAAAAAUGAGCGUCUGGGAGCGCAUUGCACCCACACAAACACACCGAGCCUUGUAUACAGUGGAAAGCGACGUCGGCAGAGCGGACUCAGCCGACUAUUGCAGUACAUAAUGAAAUCGACAAAACCGAAAAUCAGAAACCAAACGGACCACUAGCGAGCUACAACUCUGCCACGGCUACACUUUACACACUCAUGUACUCCUCCACCUCGCUUACCAACCCACACACACACAAAGGCGUGCGUGCGGUGAGAGGCAGGCAGAAAAAAGUAAAAAAAAGCAAAGUGCAUCUCACCAUGACAAUGGCGGAACCAUAAAAACACAUGUUUCCAUCUUGAAUCGAAGCGAAUUCGGCGGCUUACCUCCUUCAAAAAAAAAACAGGCGAAAAAUAUCUGUAUACGCGAAAAAGCUAAGCUGCUAAAAAUGCGACAUGGAAACCUUGCAGUUAUCGAUUCGCCUCGCUCAUUGCGCAAUGAAAAAUGCAGCGGGGGCGGCAAAAGAGUAAUCGAGAGAGAGAGAGAGACUCUUUUUUCUCUUUGAGGCACCUGCAGCGUAGGAAAUGCAAAUCCGCCUUCUACUUUCCAGCUCAAAAGUUCAAAGUUCACGUGCAACCAACUACUGGGUGCAGCGCAUGCACCGAAAUCCCCGGACCGAAAAAAAGGGACAAACAAAAAACGCUCCGACUGACAAACUCCGCAGGAAGGUUUGUUUGUCAUUCCAUUGGCUGUAAUUAAGAUUGCUUGACUAGUGAAGACUACAAAGGGAAAUGAACCAGUUAUACAAAAUGGAUAAAGUGAAAUAAUCAAUGCGAUGUAUCUAAUCCAGGUUUACAUAAUUCCAAAUAGUUGAAUAUUAGUACGAGGUCAGAAAAUGAUCAGAUAUUGUGUUUUCUCCUGCGUCACCUGAUUCUUAAUGUGAUGAAUACUCUUUAACUGUAUAAAUAGAGUCAAGCUUUACAAGUUUGGGAGAAUUAAAAAUCGAUUUUGUCAGUUUUUAGACAUUUUUAAAUCCGUGAGUCUUUUUUUCUGUAUGAUUAAAAGUUAUUAAUAUGUUUACAAUAAUUGUUACACCCUAAUCUAUACAUUUAGCUUUUGUAGGGAGGAAAAGGAUACUUUUAAUAAUUGUAAAAAAAAGGUACUUUUACCUCUUUUUAAAUUAAUCUAUUUAAUAGGAGUGCAAAUUAAGUUUGUUAGAAGAUCUUUUUCUCUAUUUUCCAAAACAAACCCUUGUUUAUACUAUUUUAAUACAUUUAAAAUAAUCACUGGAACAUAAGAAUGUUUUCGAAUAAUUAAUUAUUAAAUAUUUUAGAUUUUAGAAGCAAUCAUGUAAAAUCUACAAAAUUUUAAAGAUCUUAAAUCCUAUAGAAAAAAAUUCAUUUCGUAUUCUCCAAUUUGUCUAUACAAUAAUACCCAAGACGUGCUCCAAUUAAGACAUAAACAACGUCUAAUAAACUUCAACUUCUUUCCGACCAUCAA